AUUAAGCCCACUCAGAUGAACUAUUUCCUAGAGCACAUCGAACAAGAACAACUCUUUCCACUCAUAAAUACUCUCUCAACUAUCAAACUAUCAAAGAAUACUCCCCCAAGCAAAUCUGAAGAUACCCAAAUUGCAAGGACUCGACAAGUAGAUCGACGGUCUCUUAAUUCCAGCAAAUAAAUUGUAAGGACUCAGCAAAUAGAGGACUCAGCAAGUAGUCGCCGCCGAGACUCCCAUCCAGAUAUUCCGGUGCCUUAGCUCCUGGGUACCAUAAUGGUCUGGCCGGGAUUUGCUUUUUCGGAGCCUUUUUAGGUGCGGCUUUUUUGGUACCGAACCGAAUCUGGCUUGGACUCUGCCGGCAGAGACUCUUAAUUUUUCAGUAGCUGCAAAGGUUAUACUCAUGGUGACUCUUAAUUUUUUCUAUAAGUUUAUGGUAAGAUACACUGAUUCCCUUUGUGUUUUGAUAAAAAUUAGUAGGUGAAGCAAUUUUGGUAGUAGUAGGGGUUGGAGAAGCUACAAAUGGUGCGAUAAGGGUAGAGACUUUAGCUCCUCAUCUUAAAGUUAUUAUUAAAAAAGCCAAAUUUUUGUCAAAGGUUAGUAUUGUUGUCUGCUUUUCUAAGUAGAAACACUAGAAACUUUCUUCAUUUUCAUUAGUAAAUGUAUUUAAAUGGUUUGGAUCCGAAUAAAUUUUAAUGAUUUACUGCUGUUUUAUUUUGGUUUUUCUGUGGGUUUCUUCUUGUUUGUUUAAUUUUAUGUCUCUAAAUAGUAAUACAAUUGCUGGGUUAAUACCUAAUUUAUGGAUAUUCCUAUGUGGUAAAAGUAUUUUGGAUGCCUAAUUACUCUCCAUAUUUUUUAAUGGCUGAGAUAUAUUGUUAACAAGGACCAAAUCUAAGAUCAUGUUAUAGCAAAUUACAAAAUGUAAAGAAGCGCAUGAGUGUUUGUGACUGAAAGCAAGUAUAUUCUAGCACCAUUAAGUCUAUCACAGGAGCCACUUAUUGUGCGGCAGAUUUUUUUUUUCAAUCUUGCCUCUCUGUUAAAAGUUUUGGUUUAUCCUAAUGAAUAACCAGUUGGUUAGAAUACUCCUCUUGCAAUCAUGUUAAUUAUAAAACUUCAACUUCCUUUACUAAACAGAUUAUAGAUUAAAUAAGUAAAAAAAGAAAAGAAAAAUAGAUUAUAGUACUGCUUUGACUAUUUAUUCUUUAUGUUUUUCUCUAACUUCAGUGUUUGUAUUGUGGACCAUCUCUUCAUAAGUGAUUUGUGGACCUGAUUAUGUUAAAGAUAUGUAAUAUGUGUAGUCAAAUUUCCUGUGUUACUGGACUUCAUCUCUUAGUUAAAUCCUUGGACUUCAUCUCUUAGUUCCAGAUAUUCCAUCUCAUGCACAAAAUUCACAUGAUACAAUUGUAGAAACAUCGGAAGAGGAGGAAGGGUUUGAUGAUACGGAUUGGGACUGGAUGGAAGCAGAUGAUUAAAUAACAAAAUUAUGAAAUUCUUUUAAGUAUAUUCUUUUUUGGGAUCUCCAACGUCCUCUUCUGGUUUAGCCGUUCUACAUUUUGAGGUAGAAUAUCAAAUUUGUGAUUCAACCAUACUACAUUAUUGAUUUUGUAAUUUAUUUAUCCUGAUAGGUUUUGAUGAUUUUUUCUCCACGUAGAUGCACAUAAAUCUCUUUUUGUUGAUGUGUAGUGUAACUCUUCUUCUGUUUUCUUUCUGUGCAAAUCUCAAGGUAAGCUGUUAAAAAUACUUGAAGUGGUGUCAAGUUUGUAUGAAGAGGAGGGAGUUGUUCUUGACAUUCAUAUUUGCAGACUUAUUUGACUCUGAAAGUUGCUAAGUUAACAAAUAAAACAACCUUGAUCCCAUCUUUUAUUGGUUGUGAUAGUUUCCAUGUUAGGAGUUGAUGCUCUUUUGACCGUCAUUCUUCCAGAUUUUCCCACUGUUUCUGCCUUAGAUUGCUAGAUAUGCCUAUAUUCAAAAUCAUGUGCUCAUAUUUUCCUGCUUCUUCAUCCUCUAUUAUCUUAACUGCUUUUAGCAUCUGUCGGAAGAGAGGAUGCAACAAAGAAUACAUGAAAAGUUGAACGAACAAAAGGAUGCUAUGGAACAAAAUAUUACAAUGAACGUCAUCGCACGACUUCAGCGUCAGAACCCAGAUUUGCGACUUGAUCUUGACAUGUUAAGGUUCAGUGCACGUUCAUCUGUAGAAGCUUCCUCUGCACAACAAGUUGUUGUUCAAGUAAACAGUCAACUACCAAAUGUUAUACAUCUUCUUCUAUUUCUUCUUCUUCUCCUCUUUCCUUGGUUGGGAUUUUGCUUUUGUUCAAGGCAGAGUGGAUAUGGUAAUAUCCUUUUUUCUUCCUAUAAAUGUGCUUAUUUCGGUAUUAUUGGUAUCCAACUUCUUUUAUAACAGCUUCCGUUUCAGUGUUGGUUAAUUUUAUGCUAUAUAAUGCCUUCUUUAGAUUCUUGGUCAUUUUUAUGCUAUAUACACUCCAAAUAUCAUAAUGCAUGAACGUGGUGGCUGCCACAAAUAUAUGUGAGCCAAAUCCGAUGGUUAAAUAUCAAAAGUUGUUCUAGAUCUUUUCCUUCUUCAUGAAAAUGGAAGGUUAUGUGGCUGUCACUGUCAGUCAUUUUUUCCUGCUAAUGUGCAGCAGUGAACAACAACUGACUGAUUUUGUGCAUAUCAAGAGCCUUAUUUUAAAUAAAAAUGUUCAUUCUUUAUGAGUAGCAUAUGAUAUGUCUUUAUGUUCGAGUGCUCCUGGUUCCCCCCCCCUUCUCCCUUUGGUACGAUUUUGUGCAUUUCCAUAUGGGACCAAGUGAAUACUAAAUGCAUGAGUAGUUAAUUGACUCUCUUCUGGAGAGCUCAUAUAAGUUGGGUAACUAUCUGAGGUGUUAUCAAGUUCUAGGUGAUAAAUAAUUUUGAAAUUUGACUAACUAACCAGAUACACAAAUAGUUGUGCUCUGUUUUCCAGUGCUACAAAUUCUAGGAUAUGGUACCAAGGUUAUGGAUACCCUAUUUCUUUGAUUGCAAGGGAGAGUAGAAGCCCACUCAUGCCAUGCUAUAUUUUGAAAUGAUUAUGCCAGUUUAUCUGUAGCGUAAAAGAGAGAAAAAAAGUUGUAGUGUCAAAUGUUCCAACCUAUUUUCCUUGACCAAUAAAAGGAACUUAACUAAUUAUAGACCAAAUGAAUAAAAGUUUGUACUCUAAAAUUAAUUUAUAAAUGGCUUUUGAAAAUGAUAAAGAUGGUGAGAUAUAAUAUUGUUGAGUAGGUGAAGAACAUAUGAUAUACAUAUCUGCACUAACAUGGACAAGCCAGAUCUAACUAAUUUUAGCACAGAGAUGGUUGUUCAGUUGUUCUCCUGAUUAUAUUGAUAUAAUAUAAAUGUAGCAUAUACUUUAAAGCAUAUAUUAGCAUCAUUCUUUAUAGGCUAUAAGGAAAACAAAAUAAAAUAUACUAGUUCAAAAGGUACUACUGUCAUGGCUUGGCAUCUUAUGGCCAACUUGGAAGACUUGAACUUCUUUUGUAGUUUCUUUUUGUUUUGCAACUACUAUUGUUAGUUCUGGAGUUUUCAUGUUCUUUUCUUUUUUUAUGGCAAUUUGUGCUAUGAGUAUUCUUAGAUCGGAUUCUUUUGAAGGGUAAUAACUUUAUUUACUCUCUUUUGUAGGUGGAGUAGAUCAAGAAAUAGAUGAUGAAGACAACGAAGAACUAGACCUUACUUGAGAUGAAUCUUGAAUUGUUACAGAAGAAUAUUCUAGGAAUUUUUUGUUACCAACAUUUUUGAAACUUAUUUACUCUCUUGAAAUAUACUAAACUUAUGUACUAAGGAGUAGAACAUUUGCUUUUUGGAUAUUAUUUGCUUGAUGGAUAAUUUUAUAUUAUUA
This 3866-nucleotide long non-coding RNA is filed under the name Nicotiana tabacum (common tobacco). RNAcentral's name for it is "long non-coding RNA (NTAB_LNC002704)". The record is from RNAcentral. Lineage: Eukaryota; Viridiplantae; Streptophyta; Magnoliopsida; Solanales; Solanaceae.